GAGUUUGAUCCUGGCUCAUGACGAACGCUGGCGGCGUGCUUAACACAUGCAAGUCGAACGGAAAGGCCCCGCUCGCGGGGUACUCGAGUGGCGAACGGGUGAGUAACACGUGGGUGAUCUGCCCUGCACUUCGGGAUAAGCCUGGGAAACUGGGUCUAAUACCGGAUAUGACCUCCCUUUAGUGUGGGGGGUGGAAAGAUUUAUCGGUGCAGGAUGAGCCCGCGGCCUAUCAGCUUGUUGGUGGGGUAAUGGCCUACCAAGGCGUCGACGGGUAGCCGGCCUGAGAGGGUGGACGGCCACAUUGGGACUGAGAUACGGCCCAGACUCCUACGGGAGGCAGCAGUGGGGAAUAUUGCACAAUGGGCGGAAGCCUGAUGCAGCGACGCCGCGUGGGGGAUGACGGCCUUCGGGUUGUAAACCUCUUUCGACAGGGACGAAGUGAAAAUGACGGUACCUGUAUAAGAAGCACCGGCUAACUACGUGCCAGCAGCCGCGGUAAUACGUAGGGUGCGAGCGUUGUCCGGAAUUACUGGGCGUAAAGAGCUCGUAGGUGGUUUGUCACGUCGUCUGUGAAAUUCCGGGGCUUAACCUCGGGCGUGCAGGCGAUACGGGCAAUACUUGAGUGCUGUAGGGGAGACUGGAAUUCCUGGUGUAGCGGUGAAAUGCGCAGAUAUCAGGAGGAACACCAAUGGCGGAAGGCAGGUCUCUGGGCCAGUUACUGACGCUGAGGAGCGAAAGCAUGGGUAGCGAACAGGAUUAGAUACCCUGGUAGUCCAUGCCGUAAACGGUGGGCGCUAGGUGUAGGGGACUUCCACGUUCUCUGUGCCGUAGCUAACGCAUUAAGCGCCCCGCCUGGGGAGUACGGCCGCAAGGCUAAAACUCAAAGGAAUUGACGGGGGCCCGCACAAGCGGCGGAGCAUGUGGAUUAAUUCGAUGCAACGCGAAGAACCUUACCUGGGCUUGACAUACACCGGACCGGCGUAGAGAUACGUCUUCCCUUGUGGCCGGUGUACAGGUGGUGCAUGGUUGUCGUCAGCUCGUGUCGUGAGAUGUUGGGUUAAGUCCCGCAACGAGCGCAACCCUUGUCUUAUGUUGCCAGCACGUGAUGGUGGGGACUCAUGAGAGACUGCCGGGGUCAACUCGGAGGAAGGUGGGGAUGACGUCAAAUCAUCAUGCCCCUUAUGUCCAGGGCUUCACACAUGCUACAAUGGUCGGUACAGCAGGUCGCGAACUCGUGAGAGUAAGCCAAUCCUUCAAAGCCGGCCUCAGUUCGGAUUGGGGUCUGCAACUCGACCCCAUGAAGUCGGAGUCGCUAGUAAUCGCAGAUCAGCAACGCUGCGAUGAAUACGUUGCCCGGGCCUGUACACACCGCCCGUCA
This 1378-nucleotide ribosomal RNA is filed under the name uncultured bacterium. RNAcentral's name for it is "16S ribosomal RNA". It matches the Rfam family "Bacterial small subunit ribosomal RNA". The record is from RNAcentral.